RNAcentral lists this unclassified non-coding RNA (203 nucleotides) under Hevea brasiliensis (rubber tree). The record is from RNAcentral. Lineage: Eukaryota; Viridiplantae; Streptophyta; Magnoliopsida; Malpighiales; Euphorbiaceae.
CCUCAACGACACCAUCCACGACUUCUAUGGCUUCCCCGACGCCAUGUAUAAGCUCAAGUAUACGCCGCCUGGAGCUCCGGAGUUGGCGAAGAGGGUGAAACAAGUGCUCACGGCAUCUGGGUUUAAGCGUGUUGAUGAGGAUAAAAAACGGGGGCUUGACCAUGGUGCAUGGGUUCCGCUGAUGUUCAUGUAUCCGGAGGCUG